AUGUUAAUUCUGUGUGCUCACACAUCUCCAUCAUGCUCACUCUGCUCUCACGUCUCCAUCACGGUCACUCUGUGUGCUCACAUGUCUCCAUCACGCUCAGUCUGCUCACACGUAUCCAUCACACUCACUCUGCUCACAUGUCUCCAUCAUGCUCAGUCUGCUUACACAUCUCUAUCAUGUUCACUCUGUGUGCUCACAUGUCUCCAUCACGCUCACUCUGCAUGCUCACACAUCUCUAUCAUGUUCACUCUGUGUGCUCACACGUCUCCAUCACGCUCACUCUGCGUGCUCACACGUCUCCAUCACACUCACUCUGUGUGCUCACACGUCUCCAUCACACUCACUCUGCUCUCAUGUCUCCAUCACGCUCACUCUGUGUGCUCAUACGUCUCCAUCACACUCUGUGUGCUCACAGCACAUCUCCAUCAUGUUCACUCUGUGUGCUCACAUGUCUCCAUCACACUCAGUCUAUGUGCUCACACGUCUCCAUCACACUCACUCUGUGUGCUCACACGUCUCCAUCACGCUCACUCUGCUCACAUGUCUCCAUCACACUCACUCUGUGUGCUCACACGUCUCCAUCAUGCUCACUCUGCUCACGUCUCCAUCACGCUCACUCUGCGUGCUCACACAUCUCUAUCAUGCUCACUCUGUCUGCUCACAUGUCUCCCUCACACUCACUCUGUGUGCUCACACACCUCUAUAGAUGGGUUUGAGGAGCAGGCAGCUCCUGCAUGCAGGCAUAACCUUUCACAUUAA
This 759-nucleotide long non-coding RNA is filed under the name Oryctolagus cuniculus (rabbit). Its description in RNAcentral is "lncRNA (ENSOCUG00000030160.1)". The record is from RNAcentral. Lineage: Eukaryota; Metazoa; Chordata; Mammalia; Lagomorpha; Leporidae.